GAGAAGAUAAUCCCAUUGGCUGAGGGUGACCAUACAAUCAUACGUGUAACUGAGAGGUACUUGCUCGUACUAAGGUCAGAUGUGAGGAUCGACUGCAUGACAUUUCAGGUUGAGAGGCUUUAUGAGAAAUCUGAAUGUUUCUCACUAGACGUCAAGACAUUUAAGCUUGAGAGGGUGUGUGAGAAAAAAGAAUGUCUCAUGUGGGCCCAUAUACACCAACUUCCCACCAUCAUUGUCGUCAAGGACAGUAUGAAAUGAAUUGCCUGGCCUGUGAAGAAAAGGACAUCAGUACAUUCUUAGACAGUAUCUAUGUCCGUGAUGAAAAGCUUCAGAAGGUGUCCUGGUAGUUGCAUCCUGAAGAGUGGGCGGCGUGGUGCUUCUAUUUCUGCUGCGAAAGAAGUGCUUUUCUUCUUCUCUGGUGGAAGUUCUAUCCUAGUACUUUUGUAUGAGCUUUGCCUAUAACUUUGGUCUCAUUUUCUAUUGUUAUCAAUAAGGGAGGUUUGUUCCUUUUUGUCGUCUUGUUUAUGUUUGGAACAACUUGUUGAACUCUAUCUUAUCAGACUAAUGCA
Molecule: long non-coding RNA, 569 nt
Organism: Aegilops tauschii subsp. strangulata
Lineage: Eukaryota; Viridiplantae; Streptophyta; Magnoliopsida; Poales; Poaceae
Source: RefSeq, a predicted model, not a curated record